RNAcentral lists this ribosomal RNA (234 nucleotides) under uncultured Geobacillus sp. RNAcentral describes it as "partial 16S ribosomal RNA". It matches the Rfam family "Bacterial small subunit ribosomal RNA", at positions 1147 to 1382 of the family's 1533-position model. Lineage: Bacteria; Bacillati; Bacillota; Bacilli; Caryophanales; Anoxybacillaceae. The record is from RNAcentral.
UCGGCCGGCUAAAAGUCGGAGGAAGUGGGGAUGACGUCAAAUCAUCAUGCCCCUUAUGACCUGGGCUACACACGUGCUACAAUGGGCGGUACAAAGGGCUGCGAACCCGCGAGGGGGAGCGAAUCCCAAAAAGCCGCUCUCAGUUCGGAUUGCAGGCUGCAACUCGCCUGCAUGAAGCCGGAAUCGCUAGUAAUCGCGGAUCAGCAUGCCGCGGUGAAUACGUUCCCGGGCCUU